GAUGAACGCUAGCGGCGUGCCUAACACAUGCAAGUCGAACGGGGUACCCGAAACGGAGACUUCGGUUGAAGUUUUGGACUACCUAGUGGCGGACGGGUGAGUAACGCGUGAGCAAUCUGCCUCACAGAGGGGGAUAACACAGAGAAAUUUGUGCUAAUACCGCAUAACAUAUAGAGGAGACAUCUUCUUUAUAUCAAAGAUUUAUCGCUGUGAGAUGAGCUCGCGUCUGAUUAGCUAGUUGGUGGGGUAACGGCCUACCAAGGCGACGAUCAGUAGCCGGACUGAGAGGUUGAACGGCCACAUUGGGACUGAGACACGGCCCAGACUCCUACGGGAGGCAGCAGUGGGGAAUAUUGCGCAAUGGGGGAAACCCUGACGCAGCAACGCCGCGUGAGUGAUGAAGGCCUUUGGGGUUGUAAAGCUCUGUUGUAAAGGAGAACGUGCAGAUGAGGAAAU
This 456-nucleotide ribosomal RNA is filed under the name uncultured bacterium. RNAcentral's name for it is "bacterial SSU rRNA". It matches the Rfam family "Bacterial small subunit ribosomal RNA", at positions 28 to 465 of the family's 1533-position model. The record is from RNAcentral.